UACGUAGGGGGCGAGCGUUGUCCGGAAUCAUUGGGCGUAAAGAGCGUGUAGGCGGUUCGGUAAGUCUGCCGUGAAAACCUGGGGCUCAACCCUGGGCGUGCGGUGGAAACUGUCGAGCUAGAGGAUGGUAGAGGGGAGUGGAAUUCCCGGUGUAGCGGUGGAAUGCGCAGAUAUCAGGAGGAACACCAACGGCGAAGGCAGCUCGCUGGGACGGUACUGACGCUAAGGCGCGAAAGCGUGGGGAGCGAACAGG
Molecule: ribosomal RNA, 253 nt
Filed under: uncultured bacterium
Lineage: Bacteria
Description: partial 16S ribosomal RNA
Rfam family: Bacterial small subunit ribosomal RNA
Source: RNAcentral